AUUGAACGCUGGCGGAACGCUUUACACAUGCAAGUCGAACGGUAACAGCGAGGAAAGCUUGCUUUUUUCGGCUGACGAGUGGCGAACGGGUGAGUAAUACAUCGGAACGUGUCCGCUCGUGGGGGACAACCAUCCGAAAGGAUGGCUAAUACCGCAUGAGUUCUACGGAAGAAAGAGGGGGACCUGCUUGCAGGCCUCUCGCGAGCGGAGCGGCCGAUGACUGAUUAGCCAGUUGGUGAGGUAACGGCUCACCAAAGCAACGAUCAGUAGCUGGUCUGAGAGGACGACCAGCCACACUGGGACUGAGACACGGCCCAGACUCCUACGGGAGGCAGCAGUGGGGAAUUUUGGACAAUGGGCGCAAGCCUGAUCCAGCUAUUCCGCGUGUGGGAUGACGGCCCUCGGGUUGUAAACCACUUUAGUAGAGAACGAAAAGGAGCUAUCGAAUAAAUAGCUCUGCUGACGGUACUCUAAGAAUAAGCACCGGCUAACUACGUGCCAGCAGCCGCGGUAAUACGUAGGGUGCGAGCGUUAAUCGGAAUUACUGGGCGUAAAGGGUGUGCAGGCGGCUGAGUAAGACAGAUGUGAAAUCCCCGGGCUUAACCUGGGAACCGCAUAUGUGACUGCUUGGCUAGAGUGCGUCAGAGGGAGGUGGAAUUCCACGUGUAGCAGUGAAAUGCGUAGAUAUGUGGAAGAACACCGAUGGCGAAGGCAGCCUCCUGGGACGCAACUGACGCUCAUACACGAAAGCGUGGGGAGCAAACAGGAUUAGAUACCCUGGUAGUCCACGCCCUAAACGAUGUCAACUAGUUGUUGGGGAUUAAAUUCCUCAGUAACGCAGCCAACGCGUGAAGUUGACCGCCUGGGAAGUACGGUCGCAAGACUAAAACUCAAAGGAAUUGACGGGGACCCGCACAAGCGGUGGAUGAUGUGGAUUAAUUCGAUGCAACGCGAAAAACCUUACCUACCCUUGACAUGUCAGAGAAGCUUUUGUAAUGAGAGUGUGCCCGCAAGGGCGUCUGAACACAGGUGCUGCAUGGCUGUCGUCAGCUCGUGUCGUGAGAUGUUGGGUUAAGUCCCGCAACGAGCGCAACCCUUGUCACUAGUUGCUACGAAAGGGCACUCUAGUGAGACUGCCGGUGACAAACCGGAGGAAGGUGGGGAUGACGUCAAGUCCUCAUGGCCCUUAUGGGUAGGGCUUCACACGUCAUACAAUGGUCGGAACAGAGGGCAGCCAACCCGUGAGGGGGAGCAAAUCCCAGAAAACCGAUCGUAGUCCGGAUUGCAGUCUGCAACUCGACUGCAUGAAGUCGGAAUCGCUAGUAAUCGCGGAUCAGCAUGCCGCGGUGAAUACGUUCCCGGGUCUUGUACACACCGCCCGUCAAACAAUGGGAGUGGUGUUUACCAGAAGUCGUUAGCCUAACCGCAAGGAGGGCGGCGACCACGGUGAGCACCGUGACUAAUGUUAAGUCGUAACAAGGUAGCCGUACCGGAAGGUGCGGCUGGAUCACCUCCUUUCAAGAGAAAGCGAAUGAAGGCUUUUAGAAGACGCUUGAAUUCAUUCAGCGCUCACUCUUAUCGGCAGUCGAUAAAUGAAAAGACGAUGGGUCUUUAGCUCAGCUGGUUAGAGCACCGUCUUGAUAAGGCGGGGGUCGAUGGUUCAAGUCCAUCAAGACCCACCAUAGUUCUGAGACGGGGGUAUAGCUCAGCUGGGAGAGCACCUGCUUUGCAAGCAGGGGGUCAACGGUUCGAUCCCGUUUACCUCCACCAACAAGAGACAAGAUGAAAACGCGUUUGACGCGCUUUGAUAUUGUCUUUUGACAAUACGUUCUUUAACAAUUCGGAAAGAUUGAAAAAUCUAACGUUAAGACUGAUUUGAUGAGAGUCAGUCAAGACGGGUAGUGAUUGGAAAUCAAGCAAAGUUAAAGCUUUGAGAUUUCUCAAGCAUGAGACAUUGACAGCAUAUGGGCACAAAGAACCAAGUUACUUGUGACCCGGCCGGGCAAUAGGCGGCAGGGUUAUAGGAUCAAGUGACUAAGUGCAUGUGGCGGAUGCCUUGGCGAUCACAGGCGAAGAAAGACGCGGCAGCCUGCGAAAAGCUGCGGGGAGCUGGCAAACAAGCAUUGAUCCGCAGAUAUCUGAAUGGGGGAACCCACACCGCAAGGUGUAUCUGCAUCUGAAUACGUAGGAUGCAGAGGCGAACGAGGAGAACUGAAACAUCUAAGUAUCCUCAGGAAAAGAAAUCAACCGAGAUUCCGGCAGUAGCGGCGAGCGACCCCGGAAGAGCCUAACAGCUGAUAGUUUGAAGCGUAGUCGAACGGAAUGGAAAGUCCGGCCAUAGCGGGUGAUAGCCCCGUAGGCGAAACGCUUUGGAUGGUACUAAGGCAGUGAGAAGUAGAGCGGGACACGUGGAAUCCUGUUCGAAGACGGGGGGACCAUCCUCCAAGGCUAAAUACUCGUGAUCGACCGAUAGUGAACC
Molecule: unclassified non-coding RNA, 2479 nt
Filed under: uncultured Burkholderiales bacterium
Lineage: Bacteria; Pseudomonadati; Pseudomonadota; Betaproteobacteria; Burkholderiales
Description: partial contains 16S ribosomal RNA, 16S-23S ribosomal RNA intergenic spacer, and 23S ribosomal RNA
Rfam family: Bacterial small subunit ribosomal RNA (bases 1-1518)
Source: RNAcentral